This is a long non-coding RNA of Ctenocephalides felis (cat flea), 172 nucleotides long. RefSeq lists it as uncharacterized. The record is from RefSeq and is a predicted model, not a curated record. NCBI's taxonomy places the organism in Eukaryota, Metazoa, Arthropoda, Insecta, Siphonaptera, Pulicidae. The transcript is spliced from 3 exons.
UUUUCUCAGGUCCUGUCAACUUCUGCUGCUCUGCACACAGACUCCUUCACCAGGAACAUUUAAUCAGGUUCUUUCAACUUCUGCUGCUCUGCACACAGACUCCAUCACCAGGAACAUUUAAUCAGGUCCUUUCAACUUCUGCUGCUCUGCACACAGACUCCUUCACCAGGAA